GCCGACUUAGCUCAGCUGGCAGAGCAACGCACUCGUAACGCGUAGGUCGCAGGUUCGACCCCUGCAGUCGGCAUCA
This 76-nucleotide transfer RNA is filed under the name Streptococcus pantholopis. Its description in RNAcentral is "tRNA-Thr". It matches the Rfam family "tRNA". From Rfam's summary of the family: Transfer RNA (tRNA) molecules are approximately 80 nucleotides in length. Their secondary structure includes four short double-helical elements and three loops (D, anti-codon, and T loops). Lineage: Bacteria; Bacillati; Bacillota; Bacilli; Lactobacillales; Streptococcaceae. The record is from RNAcentral.